This 475-nucleotide ribosomal RNA is filed under the name uncultured bacterium. RNAcentral's name for it is "bacterial SSU rRNA". It matches the Rfam family "Bacterial small subunit ribosomal RNA", at positions 28 to 517 of the family's 1533-position model. The record is from RNAcentral.
GACGAACGCUGGCGGCGUGCCUAACACAUGCAAGUCGAACGAAGCACUUGAGCUUGCUUGAGUGACUUAGUGGCGGACGGGUGAGUAAUACAUGAGCAACCUGCCUCAAAGAGGGGGACAACAGUUGGAAACGACUGCUAAUACCGCAUGAUGUAUCGGGGAGGCAUCUUCCUGAUACCAAAGAUUUAUCGCUUUGAGAUGGGCUCAUGUCUGAUUAGCUAGUUGGUGAGGUAACGGCUCACCAAGGCUGCGAUCAGUAGCCGGACUGAGAGGUUGAACGGCCACAUUGGGACUGAGACACGGCCCAAACUCCUACGGGAGGCAGCAGUGGGGAAUAUUGCACAAUGGGGGAAACCCUGAUGCAGCGACGCCGCGUGAGUGAAGAAGUAUUUCGGUAUGUAAAGCUCUAUCAGCAAGGAAGAAAAAUGACGGUACUUGACUAAGAAGCCCCGGACUAACUACGUGCCAGCAGCCG